UCAUUCCUAUAUUUACGGCAAUGAAAAUGUUUACAAAAAAUAAUUGGUGGUGGAGUAUCUUACGAAUAACGUCGUGAGCUAGUCCUACCUAUAAUAAUAUUAGAAAAAGGCUUGUC
Regulatory RNA element from Flavobacteriaceae bacterium, 116 nucleotides. It matches the Rfam family "Bacteroidete tryptophan peptide leader RNA". The record is from Rfam. NCBI's taxonomy places the organism in Bacteria, Pseudomonadati, Bacteroidota, Flavobacteriia, Flavobacteriales, Flavobacteriaceae.